Molecule: transfer RNA, 96 nt
Filed under: Mycolicibacterium psychrotolerans
Lineage: Bacteria; Bacillati; Actinomycetota; Actinomycetes; Mycobacteriales; Mycobacteriaceae
Description: tRNA-SeC
Source: RNAcentral
CGUCGCACAGGCGUUGGCGAGGACUCACGACGCCGUCAUCGCGCUGGGUGUCGUGAUCCGGGGUGAGACACCGCAUUUCGACUAUGUCUGCGACGC